UACGUAGGGGGCAAGCGUUGUCCGGAAUCAUUGGGCGUAAAGCGCGUGUAGGCGGCUCGGUAAGUCUGCUCUGAAAGUCCAAGGCUCAACCUUGGGAUGCGGGUGGAUACUGCCGGGCUCGAGUCCGGAAGAGGCGAGUGGAAUUCCUGGUGUAGCGGUGAAAUGCGCAGAUAUCAGGAGGUACACCAAUGGCGAAGGCAGCUCGCUGGGACGUAACUGACGCUGAGACGCGAAAGCGUGGGGAGCAAACAGG
This 253-nucleotide ribosomal RNA is filed under the name uncultured bacterium. Its description in RNAcentral is "partial 16S ribosomal RNA". It matches the Rfam family "Bacterial small subunit ribosomal RNA", at positions 524 to 776 of the family's 1533-position model. The record is from RNAcentral.